GGAGUUAGCCGGUGCUUCUUCUGUGAGUGAUGUCCUUCCUGCCGGCUAUUAACCCGCAGGCCUUCUUCCUCACUGAAAGUUCUUUACAACCCGAAGGCCUUCUUCACACACGCGGCAUGGCUGGAUCAGGGUUGCCCCCAUUGUCCAAUAUUCCCCACUGCUGCCUCCCGUAGGAGUCUGGGCCGUGUCUCAGUCCCAGUGUGGCUGAUCAUCCUCUCAGACCAGCUACGGAUCGUCGCCUUGGUGAGCCGUUACCUCACCAACCAGCUAAUCCGACAUAGGCUCAUCCGAUAGCGCGAGGCCCGAAGGUCCCCCGCUUUCCCCCGUAGGGCGUAUGCGGUAUUAGCCUGGGUUUCCCCAGGUUAUCCCCCACUACCGGGCAGAUUCCUAUGCAUUACUCACCCGUCCGCCGCUCGCCACCAGGGAGCAAGCUCCCCGUGCUGCCGCUCGACUUGCAUGUGUUAGGCCUGCCGCCAGCGUUCAAUCUGAGCCAGAUCAAACUCUGA
Molecule: ribosomal RNA, 506 nt
Filed under: uncultured bacterium
Lineage: Bacteria
Description: partial 16S ribosomal RNA
Source: RNAcentral